UACGAAGGGGGCUAGCGCUGUUCGGAAUUACUGGACGUAAAGCGCACGUAGGCGGAUAUCUAAGUCAGGGGUGAAAUCCCGGGGCUCAACCCCGGAACUGCCUUUGAUACUGGGUAUCUCGAGUCCGAGAGAGGUGAGUGGAAUUCCGAGUGUAGAGGUGAAAUUCGUAGAUAUUCGGAGGAACACCAGUGGCGAAGGCGGCUCACUGGCUCGGUACUGACGCUGAGGUGCGAAAGCGUGGGGAGCAAACAGA
This 253-nucleotide ribosomal RNA is filed under the name uncultured bacterium. RNAcentral's name for it is "partial 16S ribosomal RNA". It matches the Rfam family "Bacterial small subunit ribosomal RNA", at positions 524 to 776 of the family's 1533-position model. The record is from RNAcentral.